CAGAGGCUGACACCAAACCACAACAACACAACGCUGAAUUACUGAUGACUGGUGGAUGAACCACAGAGGACAGAGAGGCGGACGCACACACAGGGAUUAAACACCACUGUAAAGACACCGGGGCGUCCUCACCUGUGCAGGUCGAGCUCCAGGUAGGGGAAGAUGAGCUUCUCCUUGAUGAGCUCCCAGAUGACACGAGUCAUCUCAUCUCCCUGCAUCUCCACCACGGAGCCGGACUUGAUCUUCUGAGACAUCUUAGAGGCUGGAGGGACACACGGGGACAGAAAGAGACGUCAGGAGACAACAUGUCAGAGAGAGUGGAUGAAGUAUUCUAUUAGUUUACACUGUGUGAAAAUAUAUUAAUCAGCAAAUAUUCAGAUACUAAUUAAUCGUUUAGCUUGUUAUCUCAGUUCCAUGAGUUUGUGGAGGACGGUUUUUAGUUUCCCAACAGAACUUGAUGAAAAAGUUAAAGUGUCUUUAAGGGACUGAUGUUUGUGAGUGUGUGUCUUUCACUGCAGAUCCAAAUGAAAAUCUGGAUCUCGUGAUUCUCCUGGUUUCAUGAGGAGACUGUCUUUUAUUGUUUUCAGCAUUUCAUGAAAAAGACGACUCAUUAAUUACUUUACAGAGAAAACCACUGGAAAACGAAUCCAUUAUGAAAAUAAGCCCAGAAACUGACACCACUGUGAAAAGUGUGACCCUGUGAAUGACUCCACAGUUUCCUCAAUGAAUGAGCUCUUUGAAUCUCUGCAGAAACAGUGACUCAGCACGAAUUUGCUCCACAAUCCUCUUAAGUGGGAGUUCCAGUGUGAAGCCCUGAGGCUCACGUUGCACCAGACAUCUGAACGUCCACUGUCUUUUCUACAAGACAAGAACUGGACCCAGUGGGACAUGUUGAAGUUACGUAAGUCUGCAGCCUGCAGGUGGUGGCCUGAUGGGGAGGAGACACACACACCCAGCCAAUCCAGAGCAACACACUCCAUGCAUCCCCUGUCUCUGCUGUUAUCAUUGAUAUUAAAGAUGAUUAAUGUGUCGUUUUAAAGCAGAAACAUGAAAACAGGAAGGAAGCUGAGGCCUCAGAGGAUCGUCAUGUUUCCUUCGGUCAUGUCUAACACGUCGUUUUCAAUAAAGAUCAGUAGUUUGAAUAUUAUUUA
Long non-coding RNA from Platichthys flesus (European flounder), 1151 nucleotides. RefSeq lists it as uncharacterized. The transcript has 2 exons. The record is from RefSeq and is a predicted model, not a curated record. Lineage: Eukaryota; Metazoa; Chordata; Actinopteri; Pleuronectiformes; Pleuronectidae.